RNAcentral lists this unclassified non-coding RNA (378 nucleotides) under plant metagenome. RNAcentral describes it as "partial contains 5.8S ribosomal RNA, internal transcribed spacer 2, and large subunit ribosomal RNA". The stretch from base 1 to 105 matches the Rfam family "5.8S ribosomal RNA", at positions 50 to 154 of the family's 154-position model. The record is from RNAcentral.
GAAAUGCGAUAAGUAAUGUGAAUUGCAGAAUUCAGUGAAUCAUCGAAUCUUUGAACGCACCUUGCGCUCCUUGGUAUUCCUUGGAGCAUGCCUGUUUGAGUAUCAUGAAAUCUUCAAAGUAAAUCUUUUGUUAACUCAAUUGGUUUCUACUUUGGUAUUGGAGGUCUUUGCAGCUUCACACCUGCUCCUCUUUGUUCAUUAGCUGGAUCUCAGUGUUAUGCUUGGUUCCACUCGGCGUGAUAAGUUAUCUAUCGCUGAGGACACUGUAAAAGGUGGCCAAGGUAAAUGCAGAUGAACCGCUUCGAAUAGUCCAUUGACUUGGAAAAUACUUUUAUGAUCUGAUCUCAAAUCAGGUAGGACUACCCGCUGAACUUAAGC